Molecule: microRNA precursor, 191 nt
Filed under: Oryza brachyantha (malo sina)
Lineage: Eukaryota; Viridiplantae; Streptophyta; Magnoliopsida; Poales; Poaceae
Description: MIR812 microRNA precursor family
Rfam family: MIR812 microRNA precursor family (bases 26-191)
Source: Rfam by way of RNAcentral
CCUCCGUCAUUUUUCAGUUUUUUGGUACAAUAUUUUGACUCUUCGUCUUAUUUAAAAUUUUUUAUGAUUAAUAUUUUUAUUGUUAUUAGAUGAUAAAAUACGAAUAGUACUUUAUGCGUGACUAAUUUUUUUAAGUUUUUGUACAAACUUUUCAAAUAAGAUGAAUGGUCAAACGUUGGACACAGAAAAAC